Molecule: ribosomal RNA, 1118 nt
Filed under: Gymnodiptychus dybowskii
Lineage: Eukaryota; Metazoa; Chordata; Actinopteri; Cypriniformes; Cyprinidae
Description: partial 16S ribosomal RNA
Rfam family: Bacterial large subunit ribosomal RNA
Source: RNAcentral
GCCAAACAGCUAGCUCAACCACCUAAUAACUAAACAAUGUAUAUAAAACAAAAUAAGCCUAACACCAAAAAUUAAACCAUUCUUUUACCUUAGUAUGGGAGACAGAAAAGGUCACACCUGGAGCAAUAGAAAUAGUACCGCAAGGGAAAGCUGAAAGAGAAAUGAAACAACUUAUAUAAGCACAAAAAAGCAAAGAUUAAAUCUUGUACCUUUCGCAUCAUGAUUUAGCCAGUAUACCCAAGCAAAGAGACCUUUAGUUUGAAACCCCGAAACCAGAUGAGCUACCCCGAGACAGCCUAUUAAGGGCCAACCCGUCUCUGUGGCAAAAGAGUGGGAAGAGCUCCGGGUAGAGGUGACAAAUCUACCGAACCUGGUGAUAGCUGGUUGCCUAAGAAGUGAAUAGAAGUUCAGCCUCGUGCUCCCCUAAUCGAAAGAUAUAGAAAAGAUGCUAAAGGGCAAUACACGAGAGUUAGUUGAAGGGGGUACAGCCCCUUUAACAAAGGACACAACCUUUCCAGGAGGAUAAAGAUCAUAAUACAUAAAACAUCCUGUUCUAGUGGGCCUAAAAGCAGCCACCUAAACAGAAGGCGUUAAAGCUCAGACAGAAGCAAGUUUAUUAUUCCGACAAGAAAUCUUACUCCCCUAAGUUCUAUUAGGCCAGCCCAUGCUCGCAUGGGAGAGACUAUGCUAAAAUGAGUAACAAGAAGGCCUGCCCUUCUCCGAGCACAGCUGUAAGCCAAAUCGGACCAACCAUUGGCAAUUAACGAACUCAACCCAAGAGAGCAAUGUGGAUUAUAAUAAGACCGAGAAGAACCCACAGCAAUUCAUCGUUACCCCCACACUGGCGUGCUAUUAAAGGAAAGACUAAAAGAAGGGGAAGGAACUCGGCAAACACAAGCCUCGCCUGUUUACCAAAAACAUCGCCUCCUGCAACGCAACCAAGUAUAGGAGGUCCAGCCUGCCCAGUGACGAUAAGUUUAACGGCCGCGGUAUUUUGACCGUGCAAAGGUAGCGUAAUCACUUGUCUCUUAAAUGGAGACCUGUAUGAAUGGCCAAACGAGGGCUUAACUGUCUCCCCCUUCCAGUCAGUGAAAUUGAUCUAUCCGUGCAGAAGCGGG